UGUAUCGGUCCGGCGUCAGUGGGUUAUCAAGUUUGCCUCCCUUCGGGGAAUUUCCCAUCGGCAUCAACUUGACAGUUAC
Caenorhabditis elegans is the source of this 79-nucleotide small RNA. It matches the Rfam family "Nematode sRNA ceN72-3_ceN74-2". NCBI's taxonomy places the organism in Eukaryota, Metazoa, Nematoda, Chromadorea, Rhabditida, Rhabditidae. The record is from Rfam.